AGUGAACGCUGGCGGUAGGCCUAACACAUGCCAGUCGAACGGCAGCACAGUAAGAGCUUGCUCUUACGGGUGGCGAGUGGAGGACGGGUGAGGUAAACAUCGGAAUCUACUUUUUCGUGGGGGAUAACGUAGGGCAACUUACGCUAAUACCGCAUACGACCUACGGGUGAAAGCAGGGGAUCUUCGGACCUUGCGCGAAUGAAUGAGCCGAUGUCGGGUUAGCUAGUUGGCGGGGUAAAGGCCCACCAAGGCGACGAUCCGUAGCUGGGCGGAGAGGAGGAGCAGCCACACUGGAACUGAGACACGGCCCAGACUCCUAGGGAAGGCAGCAGUGGGGAAGAUUGGACAAUGGGGGGAAUCUUGAUCCAGCCAUACCGCGCGGGUGAAGAAGGCCUUCGGGUUGUAAAGCCCUUUUGUGGGUAAAGAAAAGCAGCAGGAUGAUACCCCGCUGUUGUGACGGUACCCAAAGAAUAAGCACCGGCUAACUUCGUG
This 492-nucleotide ribosomal RNA is filed under the name uncultured bacterium. RNAcentral's name for it is "partial 16S ribosomal RNA". It matches the Rfam family "Bacterial small subunit ribosomal RNA", at positions 29 to 507 of the family's 1533-position model. The record is from RNAcentral.